CGUAAGGUACCUCAUAUACCAUCACUAAUAUAAGUAAAAUUUAAGCGUAUUGUUUUAUCGUUUUUUAUUUUCUUUUGGAUCAGAGCCUAACUGUUCUGUUUGCAACAUAAAUCUGGAUAAACAAUAUUCUAAUUAGAAUUAAAAUUAAGUUAUAGGUUGCUAGGGGAUGUGUUGACCCGAUUGACUCGUGGUCCGAGCUUGACAAUUUUUAGACUUGACACGGCAUACCUUAAAGGCUCUAUUUGAGCAAAGGUUUAUUUCGAUAUAUUACUUGAUGUUUGAAGAGAAAUAAUCAGAUGGAAUUUAAAAUUGUGUUAUAUGGGAAGUAGACGUGGUAGACGCAACAACUUUCACAGCAGUUCCCAGAAGAUUUAUUCCUGGCUUGUCUGUGGAUCCACCACUAGUGUGCUCGCGUUUUUAUGUAGGCAACGUCAAAGUCAAGUAGCAUUUUCAUAUGCCAUUCGGGGAAGGUGACAAAGUGUUUUUGUUUCGUCAGCAUCAAAUAUUCAAAGUCUUGCCAAAUGGAUAUAUCACGAAUGUAUAAGUUUGAGAAUGGACCGUUAAAACCUCUGUCUGCAAUAAAUUUUUAAUCUUCAACAUCCGCACUUGUUCGUACUCUAUCGAGGCGAAGCAUGUUUGAUCCCGCAUGCCGCUGUUCUUGUGCUGCGCGCGUGGAAAGAGCUUACUGCGCUAGCCACAAACGCGAGAAAUAUAGUUUCGAAAAUUCGUCAAAAUUACAAUUUAGUACUUUCCAUUUCGAAAUGUAUAAAUUAGUGACUAAAAGCCUAAUGUAAAUUUUUCUUAAAAAAAAAAGUUGAAUAAACUGAAAAGUUCAAAAUGGAAAAAAAAUAUUUACCGUCAAAUAUGUACUUUUUGCUUAUAAAAUAACCGUCGAUAAAAUUAUAUCUCAUAGCAAAGUUGAGAAAAUAUGGCCAAGGCAGCAAAGCGAGCAUUGGCUAUUGCAGUAUGGCAGUAGUGCAAUACUCAAGGUCAGCACUUUAGCGCAAUUAACAGUAUUCCUCGAAUCGGAUUCAGCUGUUUUAUUUGUAUGAAAUAUCAAAGAGUUGAAUUAACUGAGCGAAUUCCCGGCAUCUGAUUAAAUUUUAGGAAAAUAUGGGUGAGAAAAUUGUACAAGCAAAUUUCAAAAGAACCAGCGUGAGCAGCACCUAAUCAUGUAUUUGUAUAUAAAUGUAUCUUUUAUUAAUGGAAAUAAUUAUAAUGUUAAAUUAGUUUUUUACAGUUAAUAUAUACAUAAUUGUUUAUUUAUUGAUAAAUUACAUUUGUAAUUAUCUGAGUUAUGAAGAACUAACCAUAAUAUUACAAAAUUGGAUAUAUGUAAUAAGCAAAUUAUUUUCCUUCGUGUUAAUUUGUUGAAAAGGAUAUAUUUUAACUGCCAAUAUUUUAUUUUAAACUUAUUUUUUAAAUAUGUCUUUAAGCUGCUAAUCAAUUUUAAUACUUAGUUUAAAGUGUAAAAAAAGUUAAAAUAAUAAAACAAGAAAUUAACAAGUAAGAAAGGGCUAAGUUCAAAUGUGAUCGAACAUUUUAUACUCUUGUAAAUUGCAAGGAUCAAAGCCGACAAAUACCUUCAGAUAUUGGCAAAACUUUAUAUUAUAAAAUGUAGCGAAAAGGUUUAUCUUCAUUGUUCGACGUAAGCGAGAAUGGAUUACAAUCAAAUUUGGUAUCAUAUUAAGUUAUUUUGAGGGUCAUUGGCCCACUUAGUUUUAUCCUCAAAUGAGAUAUAUGCGAUAUAAACUCAAAUGAAGAGGCUAAAAUUAAUAUAUUGAGUUGAUGUGAAAAACGGCAACCAAAGGAACCGAAUCUGGAAGUAUCGCAAGAAGACCGUACCAUCGAGAUCCGUAUGUUAGUGUUCAAGAAAGAAUCGCGGCUGUUGCAUCGUCAAUUCAGACAAAUCCAAGAGUUUCGACUAGCAACUUAUCGGCGCUACUUGGAGUUAGCAGACGGCCUACUUGGAGUUACAACGGAUAAUUCAUGAUGACUUAAGCCUGUUUCCGUACAAAGUUCAAAUAACAAGCCGAUUAAACCCUCUAGAUUUGCCUAUUCGUCUGGAAUUUUGUCAAAAAAAGAUUGCAAUGGCCGAAAAAGACAAAAACUUGAAAAAUUGAUUGGUUACGUCUGAUGUAAACAAGCAAAAUUGCCCUAUAUGAAGUGAAUCAAAUUCAGAAGUAAUCCACGAGACAGAACUUCACCCAGAAUGAAUCAUUGUGUAGUGCGCAGUUUCAUCAAGGUGUAUUGUCGGGCCAAACUACUUUGAAGAAAACGGUGUGACCGUUAUUUAAAGAUAAUAAAUGAGUUUUUUUACAUAGAACUGAGCCGAAGACGUAUCCCUUUCAAUAGCGUUUGGUUCCAACAAGAUGAAGCAACUGCACACAUAAUCAAGCCGGUUAUUGCGGAGCUCCAACGAAAAUUAGAAAAGAAAUUACUAUCAAGAAACUCCACUUUCCGCUGGCCUCCUACGCUAACCUGACUGCACCCGACUUUUUUAAUGGGGUAAUGUCAAACAAGAGGUGUACAAACAAAACCCUAAAAUCUGACUGAAUUGAAGCAGUCCAUUAAAUCGAUAAUUGAGGCAAUUCUGACUUCAAACCUUCAGGCUGCAAUGAAUAAUUUUCUAAUAAAAUAUGCGUGGCUGAGCAUGGAGGUCAUUUACGGUCCAUAAUUUUUAAAAAUAAUUAAUUGUGUAAAAUAAAAUAAAAUUUGCUAUACAAUAAAAAGUGAAUAAAUAAUAGCC
This is a long non-coding RNA of Bactrocera oleae (olive fruit fly), 2749 nucleotides long. RefSeq lists it as uncharacterized. The record is from RefSeq and is a predicted model, not a curated record. NCBI's taxonomy places the organism in Eukaryota, Metazoa, Arthropoda, Insecta, Diptera, Tephritidae.